This 463-nucleotide ribosomal RNA is filed under the name uncultured bacterium. RNAcentral describes it as "partial 16S ribosomal RNA". It matches the Rfam family "Bacterial small subunit ribosomal RNA", at positions 28 to 507 of the family's 1533-position model. The record is from RNAcentral.
GACGAACGCUGGCGGCACGCCUAACACAUGCAAGUCGAACGGACUUACAAGAGCUUGCUUUUUUAAGUUAGUGGCGGACGGGUGAGUAACACGUGAGCAACCUGCCUCUGAGAGGGGGAUAGCUUCUGGAAACGGAUGGUAAUACCCCAUAAAAUAUAAAUAUCGCAUGAUAGAUAUAUCAAAGAAAUUCGCUCAGAGAUGGGCUCGCGUCUGAUUAGAUAGUUGGUGAGGUAACGGCUCACCAAGUCGACGAUCAGUAGCCGGACUGAGAGGUUGAACGGCCACAUUGGGACUGAGACACGGCCCAGACUCCUACGGGAGGCAGCAGUGGGGAAUAUUGCACAAUGGAGGGAACUCUGAUGCAGCGAUGCCGCGUGGAGGAAGAAGGUUUUCGGAUUGUAAACUCCUUUUAUCAGGGACGAUAAUGACGGUACCUGAAGAAAAAGCUCCGGCUAACUACGUG